Molecule: ribosomal RNA, 780 nt
Filed under: bacterium
Lineage: Bacteria
Description: bacterial SSU rRNA
Rfam family: Bacterial small subunit ribosomal RNA
Source: RNAcentral
GAUGAUGCCCAGCUUGCUGGGUGGAUUAGUGGCGAACGGGUGAGUAACACGUGAGUAACCUGCCCCUGACUCUGGGAUAAGCGUUGGAAACGACGUCUAAUACUGGAUAUGAUUACCGGCCGCAUGGUCUGGUGGUGGAAAGAUUUUUUGGUUGGGGAUGGACUCGCGGCCUAUCAGCUUGUUGGUGAGGUAAUGGCUCACCAAGGCGACGACGGGUAGCCGGCCUGAGAGGGUGACCGGCCACACUGGGACUGAGACACGGCCCAGACUCCUACGGGAGGCAGCAGUGGGGAAUAUUGCACAAUGGGCGAAAGCCUGAUGCAGCAACGCCGCGUGAGGGAUGACGGCCUUCGGGUUGUAAACCUCUUUUAGUAGGGAAGAAGCGCAAGUGACGGUACCUGCAGAAAAAGCACCGGCUAACUACGUGCCAGCAGCCGCGGUAAUACGUAGGGUGCAAGCGUUGUCCGGAAUUAUUGGGCGUAAAGAGCUCGUAGGCGGUUUGUCGCGUCUGCUGUGAAAUCCCGAGGCUCAACCUCGGGCUUGCAGUGGGUACGGGCAGACUAGAGUGCGGUAGGGGAGAUUGGAAUUCCUGGUGUAGCGGUGGAAUGCGCAGAUAUCAGGAGGAACACCGAUGGCGAAGGCAGAUCUCUGGGCCGUAACUGACGCUGAGGAGCGAAAGCGUGGGGAGCGAACAGGAUUAGAUACCCUGGUAGUCCACGCCGUAAACGUUGGGCGCUAGAUGUAGGGACCUUUCCACGGUUUCUGUGUCGUAGCUAACGC